GAUGAACGCUAGCGGCAGGCCUAACACAUGCAAGUCGAGGGAGGAGCUUUCGGGCUUCGACCGGCGUACGGGUGCGUAACGCGUAUACAAUCUGCCUUUCACAUAGGGAUAGCCCGAAGAAAUUUGGAUUAAUACCUAAUGGUAUAUAGGAGUGGCAUCACAUUUAUAUUAAAGCUGAGGCGGUGAAAGAUGAGUAUGCGUUCUAUUAGCUAGUUGGAGAGGUAACGGCUCCCCAAGGCGACGAUAGAUAGGGGUUCUGAGAGGGAUAUCCCCCACACUGGUACUGAGAUACGGACCAGACUCCUACGGGAGGCAGCAGUGAGGAAUAGUGGACAAUGGUCGGAAGACUGAUCCAGCCAUGCCGCGUGCAGGAAGACGGCCUUAUGGGUUGUAAACUGCUUUUGCAGGGGAAGAAUAAGGACUACGAGUAGUUUGAUGACGGUACUCUGCGAAUAAGCAUCGGCUAACUCCGUG
Molecule: ribosomal RNA, 474 nt
Filed under: uncultured bacterium
Lineage: Bacteria
Description: partial 16S ribosomal RNA
Rfam family: Bacterial small subunit ribosomal RNA
Source: RNAcentral